Molecule: ribosomal RNA, 433 nt
Filed under: uncultured bacterium
Lineage: Bacteria
Description: partial 16S ribosomal RNA
Rfam family: Bacterial small subunit ribosomal RNA
Source: RNAcentral
AACGAACGCUGGCGGCAUGCCUAACACAUGCAAGUCGAACGAGACCUUCGGGUCUAGUUGCGCACGGGUGCGUAACGCGUGGUAACCUGCCCUUAGGUUCGGAAUAACUCCCCGAAAGGGGUGCUAAUACCGGAUAAUGUCUUCGGACCAAAGAUUUAUCGCCUUUGGAUGGGCCCGCGUUGGAUUAGCUAGUUGGUAGGGUAAAAGCCUACCAAGGCGACGAUCCAUAGCUGGUCUGAUAGGAUGAUAAGCCACACUGGGACUGAGACACGGCCCAGACUCCUACGGGAGGCAGCGGUAGGGAAUAUUGGACAAUGGGCGAAAGCCUGAUCCAGCAAUGCCGCGUGAGUGAUGAAGGCCUUAGGGUUGUAAAGCUCUUUUACACGGGAUGAUAAUGACAGUAACGGGAGAAUAAGCUCCGGCUAACUACGUG